Molecule: ribosomal RNA, 481 nt
Filed under: uncultured bacterium
Lineage: Bacteria
Description: partial 16S ribosomal RNA
Rfam family: Bacterial small subunit ribosomal RNA
Source: RNAcentral
AGUGAACGUUGGCGGCGUGGAUUAGGCAUGCAAGUCGAGCGAGAACCGUAGCAAUACGGGGACAGCGGCGAAAGGGACAGUAAUGUGUAGGUACCUACCCCGAGGUCUGGGAUAGCUGCGGGAAACUGCAGGUAAUACCGGAUAAUGUCUUCGGACCAAAGGUGUGAUUCCACCUUGGGAGGGGCCUGCAUCCUAUUAGCUAGUUGGCGGGGUAAUGGCCCACCAAGGCAACGAUGGGUAGCGGGUGUGAGAGCACGACCCGCGUCAUUGGGACUGAGAUACUGCCCAGACACCUACGGGUGGCUGCAGUCGAGGAUCUUCGGCAAUGGGCGAAAGCCUGACCGAGCGACGCCGCGUGCGGAUGAAGGCCUUCGGGUUGUAAACCGCUGUCGUAGAGGAGGAAAUGCAGGGGGGUUCUCCCUUCUGUUUGACCUAUUCUAGGGGGAAGGACGGGCUAAGUUCGUGCCAGCAGCCGCGGUAA